This is a long non-coding RNA of Helianthus annuus (common sunflower), 1176 nucleotides long. RefSeq lists it as uncharacterized. Lineage: Eukaryota; Viridiplantae; Streptophyta; Magnoliopsida; Asterales; Asteraceae. The transcript is spliced from 3 exons. The record is from RefSeq and is a predicted model, not a curated record.
CAAUCUUCACACUUCGUCUCAUCCCGAUGUUUCCGCCAUUGGUUGGGGUGUGACACUUCCUGCUAUCACAAAGCUGUUUCCAUGUGCUGAGCACAGAUACUGUCUCAGGCACAUUCAUGAAAAUAUGAAGUUGCAGUUUAAAGGGAAGUUGUACAAAGACAAAUUAUGGAACUGUGCAACAGCCACUACCAUUCCAGAAUUUACAACUGCAAUGAAUGAGUUAAAGGCAUUCAACAAGAAAGCCCAUCUAUGGUUGUCCAAGAUCCCACCACUACAUUGGUGUAGAGCAUAUUUCUCAGGCAGGGCAGUUUCUGAUAUGCUACUUAACAAUAUGUGUGAGGUGUAUAAUGGAAAGAUAGUAGAAGGAAGGGACAGGCCCAUCAUAUCUGCCUUAGAGUACAUAAGAGAGUAUUUAAUGAGAAGAAUUGUGACUGUUCUUAAUGUGAUAGAGAAAUGUGAAGGCUUGUUGACACUUGGGCCACUGAGCAGUUUAACACAAUCAAGAAAGAAGCAGCACAUUAUCAUGUGCAGUGGAAUGGAGGGGAAUAUUAUGAGGUUAGUGGUAAACCCAACAGUGCACGUGUGGUGAACUUAGAUAAGAGGACAUGUAGCUGCAGGAGGUGGGAAAUAACAGGUAUGCCCUGCAGACAUGCUGUGGCUGCAUUAUGGGUGAGGGCUGCUAAUGGUGGAAGGGUGGGGGCUUUGGAGAGCUGGGUACAUCCUGUCUACACAAUGGAUAGGUGGAGGCUAGUUUAUUCACACAAGGUAAACCCACUCAAUGGAAGAACUUUAUGGGUAAAAACAUUGUUUCCUGUGACCAUUACCCCACCCAAACACCACAACCAAGUAGGUAGACCAAAAAAGGCAAGAAAAAGGUCAGCGGUGGAAAUGGAGGACAUGGCUCUUACUGGCAAGCUUUCAAGGAAGAACACGAAAGGGAAGUGUACCAAAUGUGGGGAGAAGGGCCAUAAUAUCAGAACAUGCAAGGGAAAGAAGAAUGCAGGGGGUGCAACAGCUUAGUUUGUUGUUUGUUAGCUGUUAUGUAGUUUAAAAAAACUUGUCUUUUGGUCGUUGACAAACUUGGUUCUGUAUGUUAGUUAUGGUACUCUAGAAACUGUCUAAAAACUUGUCUUUUGGUCGUUGACAAACUACUAAUCUACUGUAUUUUGGCUAUGA